Molecule: ribosomal RNA, 1341 nt
Filed under: Gonipterus pulverulentus
Lineage: Eukaryota; Metazoa; Arthropoda; Insecta; Coleoptera; Curculionidae
Description: partial 16S ribosomal RNA
Source: RNAcentral
AGGAACCUGCCCUGUAAUUGACAGUCCACGAUUUAAAGCACUUAUUUUAUUAGUUUACAUAUCGCCGUAGAUUGAAUAUUUUUAAAGAAAAAUAAUGUUCAAGAUUUAUUUUAUAAAAAAAUUCAGGUCAAGAUGUAGUUUAUAAGUAAGAAGAGGUGGGUUACAAUAAAUUUAUUUAAAUGGAUUAAUAGAUGAUAAUUUAUUAUUAAAGUGGAUUUGAGGGUAAUCUUAUUUAAAUUAACAAGGUGAUUUUAGCUCUAAAAUAUGUACAUAUCGCCCGUCGCUUUCGCUAUAAAGUGAAAUAAGUCGUAACAAAGUAGACGUACUGGAAAGUGUGUCUAGAAAAAUCAAAUUAGAGCUUGGUUAAAGCAUUUUAGUUACAUUAAAAAGUCUAUUGUAGAUUCAGUAUAAUUUGAGUAUAAAUAUUUAUUAAUAUUUUUAAUUUUUUAUUAUUUAAAAUAAGAAUAUUUUUUUUUAUUAAUAAUUGUGAAUAAAUAUUUUUAAUUAUAGAUUAUUGGUAUUGUGAAAGAAUAUGAAUUUUACUUAAAGAAGAAAAAUUUAAUUUUUGUACCUUGUGUAUCAGGGUUUGUUAAAUAAAAAUUAAAAAUUUAAUUUUCUCGAAUUAAUAAGGGUUAUUUUUAUAUAUUUAUUUUUGUAGAAUAAAAAUUAUUAAUAUAGAAAUAGUAAUGAAACAUUAUUCGGUUAUUAAUAUAUCUAGUUUUUUAAGAAAAAAAUUUAAUUUUAUUUUUAUAUAGUAUAUAUUUAAUUUAUUAAUUAUAUAUUAGUAAAAUUUUAUAUUUUAAGGGAUGAGCUUUAAAAUAAAUUUUUUUAAAUUAUAUUUAGUGUUUGGUUUAAUUAAGUAGGAUUGAAAGUUUUCAUCUUUAAAAUUGUGUUGUAACUAUUUUGAUUUAAAAUAUUAUUUAUAUUGAUUUAAAAUAUUUUAUUAAAAUUUAAAUUUUAAUUUAAAAAGUUUAGUAAUAAUGAUAAAAUUAGUAUAAAAUAUUGUAGGGUUAGAUUUAUUUAUAAGGUUAAAUAAAGGAAUUCGGCAAAUAUUUUUUUCACCUGUUUAUUAAAAACAUGGCCUUUUGAGGAUAAUUUAAGGUCUGGCCUGCCCAAUGAAUGUAAGGUUUGAAUGGCCGCGGUAUUUUGACCGUGCAAAGGUAGCAUAAUCAUUAGUUUUUUAAUUGAAAGCUGGAAUGAAAGGUUGAAUGAAAAAAUAGCUGUCUCUAUUUAAAUUUUUUUAGAAAUUUAUUUUUAAGUAAAAAAGCUUAAAUUUUUUUAGAAGACGAGAAGACCCUAUAGAGUUUUAUUUAUUUUUAUUAUAAAGUUUUUGGUAUUAAU